This 213-nucleotide ribosomal RNA is filed under the name uncultured bacterium. RNAcentral's name for it is "partial 16S ribosomal RNA". It matches the Rfam family "Bacterial small subunit ribosomal RNA", at positions 524 to 733 of the family's 1533-position model. The record is from RNAcentral.
UACGUAGGGUGCAAGCGUUGUCCGGAAUUAUUGGGCGUAAAGAGCUCGUAGGCGGUCUGUCGCGUCUGCUGUGAAAACUCAGGGCUUAACCCUGAGCUUGCAGUGGGUACGGGCAGACUAGAGUGCGGUAGGGGAGACUGGAAUUCCUGGUGUAGCGGUGAAAUGCGCAGAUAUCAGGAGGGAACACCCGGUGGGCGAAGGCGGGUCUCUUGG